RNAcentral lists this ribosomal RNA (478 nucleotides) under uncultured bacterium. RNAcentral describes it as "bacterial SSU rRNA". It matches the Rfam family "Bacterial small subunit ribosomal RNA", at positions 29 to 506 of the family's 1533-position model. The record is from RNAcentral.
AUGAACGCUGGCGGCGUGCUUUACACAUGCAAGUUGAGCGAGGCGGGGAGCAAUCCCCAGUCGAGCGGCGAACGGGUGAGUAACGCGUGGAUAACCUGCCCUGAGGUGGGGAACAACCAGGGGAAACUCUGGCUAAUACCGCAUAACACCGAGAGGUCAAAGGGGGCUCGCAAGAGCUCCUGCCACAGGAGGGGUCCGCGUUCGAUUAGCUAGUUGGUAGGGUAAUGGCCUACCAAGGCGACGAUCGAUAGCCGGCCUGAGGGGGUGAUCGGCCACACUGGAACUGAGACACGGUCCAGACUCCUACGGGAGGCAGCAGUGGGGAAUUUUGCGCAAUGGGCUAACGCCUGACGCAGCAACGCCGCGUGGAGGAUGAAGGUCCUUGGAUCGUAAACUCCUGUCAGCAGGGAAAAAGGGAGGCGACCUAAUACGUCGCUGACUUGAUUGUACCUGCAGAGGAAGCCCCGGCUAACUCUGU